AUUGAACGCUGGCGGCAGGCCUAACACAUGCAAGUCGAGCGGAUGAAGGGAGCUUGCUCCUGGAUUCAGCGGCGGACGGGUGAGUAAUGCCUAGGAAUCUGCCUGGUAGUGGGGGAUAACGUCCGGAAACGGGCGCUAAUACCGCAUACGUCCUGAGGGAGAAAGUGGGGGAUCUUCGGACCUCACGCUACCAGAUGAGCCUAGGUCGGAUUAGCUAGUUGGUGGGGUAAAGGCCUACCAAGGCGACGAUCCGUAACUGGUCUGAGAGGAUGAUCAGUCACACUGGAACUGAGACACGGUCCAGACUCCUACGGGAGGCAGCAGUGGGGAAUAUUGGACAAUGGGCGAAAGCCUGAUCCAGCCAUGCCGCGUGUGUGAAGAAGGUCUUCGGAUUGUAAAGCACUUUAAGUUGGGAGGAAGGGCAGUAAGUUAAUACCUUGCUGUUUUGACGUUACCAACAGAAGAAGCACCGGCUAACUUCGUG
This 484-nucleotide ribosomal RNA is filed under the name uncultured bacterium. Its description in RNAcentral is "partial 16S ribosomal RNA". It matches the Rfam family "Bacterial small subunit ribosomal RNA", at positions 30 to 507 of the family's 1533-position model. The record is from RNAcentral.